GGUUACUGUAAUUAUGACGAUAUUAGCAAUACAGAUUGGGGGAAUAAGUGCCAUUCUGAAACGUUCUGCAGUUGCUGUGAUUUCUUUGCAUUGGGUGUACUUGCUGGAAAGCAGUGUUGGUUUUGUAAAGGAUCUAUAUGUUUUCAUGCAUGAAUUUCACUUCAGUUCAUAAGAAGACGGUGUUGUUCUAACUUUUACUUUUAACAUAUCAGGAUAACUCAGUCGAGAACUUUAAAAGAGCAAACAAGAUUCUGGCUUCGGAGUCUGAGCCGGUUCAAAUAUGGGAUUUCUCUGCGCGAACAACCUUCAUAUGGAUGAAUGAAUGGAACCGUAUGCCCCAAGAUCCUCGGUCUAAGAUCCUCGGCCUUCUGACCAGGAGGUCAUAUCUUCUCGAUCUAAUUUGCCAUUCUAUUGCCUAUGCUUAAUUUCUUGCAUAAGAUUGUUAUAAAUUAAUUGUACAGUUGUGUUGGUCAUAGUCUUUUAUCUCCUAGCUACUUCUUAAGGCUUUUCUACUGCAUUACUACUAAUUAGCCAAAUUAAUCACCAUUUCUGUUAUUUCCUCCUGCAACAACGUAAUUUUAUUUGAAUGCGGAGCACUGGAACGCUAUAUUGCUGGUUUUUUGAGUAAACAUUCACUGUCCUAAUGAAAAAUUUCUACUUUAGUGACUUGAAUUUUCAUGUGCACAUGGGUAGCAAGUAAGUAAUAGUUGCUUUUAAGCGGGUUGAAAUUGAAAGUAUGCUUAUAGCCCCCAUCUUCUCCGAGCUUUUGAAAUCUAACCUCGGCUCAAUGCUGGAGUGCUAAAUUCGGCUGAUGCCUGAAGUUCUACUUAUGUCUGGCAAGUUAUAAGCAUGUUUAGCAUUGUAUAUAUUGGUACUGGUACCCCCCUCCCUCCAUAAUAUCAAAGACGAUGACCGAUCUGGAUUGAGCCGGCUUCCUCAAAAUAGAUGAGUUGGCUUCUGCUAGGUUAAUCCAGACUCGACUGGCCUGACUAAACAAAGUAUACACCAUGUUGUACUUAUGCUUUUGUUCAGUCCUUAAAGGUUGAGUUAAGUAUCUUUGUAAUGUAGGUAAUUUGCUCAGACAUCAUGAAUGCAUUUUAUUUGUAGGCAACAGGUGAGGAUGGUGGCAGGAGGAUGUACCUGCGGCGUGAGGAGAUGGGUGCAGGAACAGCCGGCGCGCGGAGGUGGCUGGUUCCGACGGCCUCAGGUGAGGAUGGUGGCAGGAGGAUGUACCUGCGGCGUGAGGAGAUGGGUGCAGGAACAGACGGCCUUGGUGAGCAACACCAUGAGAGGAGAUGGGUGCAGGAACAGACGGCCUUGGUGAGCAACACCAUGAGACGGGAGCAGAGGUUGCUGGUUCCGGCGUGGCCGGACUGGUUCCGUUCCGGCGGAUGUGGCCGGAGGGCGAGUAUGGGUCCAGCGAGAGGAAAAACUGGCGUUCCUGGUGACGUGCGAUGACGGCUCGAUGGAGCUUCCGCACUUGUUUCUUUGGUUGGUUUGGCUGGGACGUGUCUUUUUUUUGGUUUGUUUUUUUGGUCAAUGCAUGGAGUACUGUUGUUUUUCUUUGGCCGGUGCGUGAUCGUGGUACUGUUGUUUUUCUUUGGCCGGUGCGUGAUCGUGGAUUGAGUCGUAACUGUUGUUUUUCUUUGGCCGGUGCGUGAUCGUGGGCUGAGUUGGUGGAGAUGUAUCUGAUCGUGGGCUGAGUUGGUGGCGA
Molecule: long non-coding RNA, 1714 nt
Organism: Triticum aestivum (bread wheat)
Lineage: Eukaryota; Viridiplantae; Streptophyta; Magnoliopsida; Poales; Poaceae
Exons: 2
Source: RefSeq, a predicted model, not a curated record